UACAGAGGGUGCGAGCGUUAAUCGGAAUUACUGGGCGUAAAGCGUGCGUAGACGGUUAUCUAAGUCGGAUGUGAAAGCCCCGGGCUCAACCUGGGAAUUGCAUUCGAGACAGAAUAGCUAGGGUACGGUAGAGGGAAGUGGAAUUUCCGGUGUAGCGGUGAAAUGCGUAGAUAUCGGAAGGAACAUCAGUGGCGAAAGCGACUUCCUGGACCAGUACCGACGUUCAGGCACGAAAGCGUGGGGAGCAAACAGG
Molecule: ribosomal RNA, 253 nt
Filed under: uncultured bacterium
Lineage: Bacteria
Description: partial 16S ribosomal RNA
Rfam family: Bacterial small subunit ribosomal RNA
Source: RNAcentral